This 28-nucleotide non-coding RNA is filed under the name Bombyx mori (domestic silkworm). The record is from RNAcentral. Lineage: Eukaryota; Metazoa; Arthropoda; Insecta; Lepidoptera; Bombycidae.
UAGAUACUUACUAAAAGAGUCGAGCUCC